AUUUAUAAACGAUCCCUCUUCUCACGAUAAACACUGAAACUGAAAGUAUGGCUUCUAAUGUGAAUGAAUUGGAUAAAUUAGAGCAAUUAAUUCGCUCUAGAAUGAAUCGGCAAAGUAUCGGCAAAGUGCGGCUCGUGCCCAAGCUUUCAUGAUGCAAAGGAAGCGCGCUAGAAUUGCUGGAGCUGUGUUAUCCUUGAUUACCGUCGGCAUUUAUGGCUAUACUAUCCAUGCGAUUAAACAGGAGAAGCUGUUUGAUGACGAUGAUGAUACAAAAUCAUAGCUGUUAGAUUUACCAUAUAAUGGAGGAAAUCUUUUGUUGUAACCUAAAUAUUGCUCAUUUAUAGUAUUUUCAGCGCGAGUCAUGUGUACAAAAUUAUAAAAAAUAAAUCAAAGCAAAAUGAGUUAAUGAUUGUGAA
Non-coding RNA from Tetranychus urticae (two-spotted spider mite), 416 nucleotides. The record is from RefSeq and is a predicted model, not a curated record. Lineage: Eukaryota; Metazoa; Arthropoda; Arachnida; Trombidiformes; Tetranychidae.